AUUGAACGCUGGCGGCAGGCCUAACACAUGCAAGUCGAGCGGAUGAAGGGAGCUUGCUCCUGGAUUCAGCGGCGGACGGGUGAGUAAUGCCUAGGAAUCUGCCUGGUAGUGGGGGAUAACGUCCGGAAACGGGCGCCAAUACCGCAUACGUCCUGAGGGAGAAAGUGGGGGAUCUUCGGACCUCACGCUAUCAGAUGAGCCUAGGUCGGAUUAGCUAGUUGGUGGGAUAAAGGCCUACCAAGGCGACGAUCCGUAACUGGUCUGAGAGGAUGAUCAGUCACACUGGAACUGAGACACGGUCCAGACUCCUACGGGAGGCAGCAGUGGGGAAUAUUGGACAAUGGGCGAAAGCCUGAUCCAGCCAUGCCGCGUGUGUGAAGAAGGUCUUCGGAUUGUAAAGCACUUUAAGUUGGGAGGAAGGGCAGUAAGUUAAUACCUUGCUGUUUUGACGUUACCAACAGAAUAAGCACCGGCUAACUUCGUG
This 484-nucleotide ribosomal RNA is filed under the name uncultured bacterium. RNAcentral describes it as "partial 16S ribosomal RNA". It matches the Rfam family "Bacterial small subunit ribosomal RNA", at positions 30 to 507 of the family's 1533-position model. The record is from RNAcentral.